GACGAACGCUGGCGGCGUGCUUAACACAUGCAAGUCGAACGGUAAGGCCCUUCGGGGUACACGAGUGGCGAACGGGUGAGUAACACGUGGGUGAUCUGCCCUGCACUUCGGGAUAAGCCUGGGAAACUGGGUCUAAUACCGGAUAGGACCACUGCCUGCAUGGGUGGGGGUGGAAAGCUUUUGCGGUGUGGGAUGGGCCCGCGGCCUAUCAGCUUGGUGGGGGGGUGAUGGCCUACCAAGGCGACGACGGGUAGCCGGCCUGAGAGGGUGCCCGGCCACACUGGGACUGAGAUGCGGCCCAGAGUCCUACGGGAGGCAGCAGUGGGGAAUAUUGCACAGUGGGCGCAAGCCUGAUGCAGCGACGCCGCGUGAGGGAUGACGGCCUUCGGGUUGUAAACCUCUUUCAGCACCGACGAAGCGCAAGUGACGGUAGGUGCAGAAGAAGGACCGGCCAACUACGUGCCAGCCGCCGCAGUAA
RNAcentral lists this ribosomal RNA (478 nucleotides) under uncultured bacterium. RNAcentral's name for it is "partial 16S ribosomal RNA". It matches the Rfam family "Bacterial small subunit ribosomal RNA", at positions 28 to 523 of the family's 1533-position model. The record is from RNAcentral.